CUACGGGUCGCAGCAGUGGGGAAUAUUGCACAAUGGAGGAAACUCUGAUGCAGCAACGCCGCGUGGAGGAUGACGCAUUUCGGUGUGUAAACUCCUUUUAUAUGGGAAGAUAAUGACGGUACCAUAUGAAUAAGCACCGGCUAACUCCGUGCCAGCAGCCGCGGUAAUAAGGAGGGUGCAAGCGUUACUCGGAAUCACUGGGCGUAAAGCGCGCGCAGGCGGGUUUGUAAGUUGGAUGUGAAAUCCUAUGGCUUAACCAUAGAACUGCAUCCAAAACUACUUACCUAGAGUCUGGGAGGGGAAGAUGGAAUUAGUGGUGUAGGGGUAAAAUCCGUAGAGAUCACUAGGAAUACCAAAAGCGAAGGCGAUCUUCUGGAACAGUACUGACGCUGAGGCGCGAAAGCGUGGGGAGCAAACAGGAUUAGAUACCCCAGUAGUC
Molecule: ribosomal RNA, 439 nt
Filed under: uncultured bacterium
Lineage: Bacteria
Description: partial 16S ribosomal RNA
Rfam family: Bacterial small subunit ribosomal RNA
Source: RNAcentral